This 67-nucleotide microRNA precursor is filed under the name Bombyx mori (domestic silkworm). RNAcentral's name for it is "mir-2774 microRNA precursor family". It matches the Rfam family "mir-2774 microRNA precursor family". The record is from Rfam by way of RNAcentral. Lineage: Eukaryota; Metazoa; Arthropoda; Insecta; Lepidoptera; Bombycidae.
CCAACAUUCGGACCUUCAGCCUACCGAGCAAUAUCGUCCGCUCAGUGGAAGAUCAUCCCUUCAUCGU